This 293-nucleotide ribosomal RNA is filed under the name uncultured bacterium. RNAcentral's name for it is "partial 16S ribosomal RNA". It matches the Rfam family "Bacterial small subunit ribosomal RNA", at positions 505 to 796 of the family's 1533-position model. The record is from RNAcentral.
GUGUCAGCCGCCGCGGUAAUACGUAGGUGACAAGCGUUAUCCGGAAUUACUGGGCGUAAAGCGCACGCAGGCGGCGCGAUAAGUCUGACGUGAAAUCUCCCGGCUUAACUGGGAGGGGUCGUUGGAAACUGUCGGGCUUGAGGCGGUGAGAGGGGUGUAGAAUUCCCGGUGUAGUGGUGGAAUGCGUAGAUAUCGGGAGGAAUACCAGUGGCGAAAGCGACACCCUGGCACUGUGCCUGACGCUCAUGUGCGAAGGCGUGGGGAGCGAACGGGAUUAGAUACCCCCGUAGUCC